This 21-nucleotide non-coding RNA is filed under the name Caenorhabditis elegans. The record is from RNAcentral. Lineage: Eukaryota; Metazoa; Nematoda; Chromadorea; Rhabditida; Rhabditidae.
UUGUAGAAAUAUAUUAAUUGG